GGGGCUAACAAUUCCUUGCCACACCCUUCCUGAAUCCUCUCUUUAGCCACUUCAACACUCAACCUUCACACACCACCCUCCUAACCAAUCAAAAUUCAUGCAUACCCGUCACACUCACUCUCUACUCAUUUUCCCUCAACUUAGCAAACAAGUUAGGUUCUCUCUCUCUCUCACCAAAAACGCUUCAGAUGACCCUCAAUUGAACCAAGAGCACUCAUAUCCUCUUCUGAAACACACAAAUUCGUUAACCACCAAGUAGGAAGGAAGAGUCACUCUAAAAUCUUUGCACUAGUUUUGUGUUGUGCUUGCAAGGCUUGGAAGCUUACAUAAUCUUAACCACCUCUUCCUCUAAUUUUCAUGUAGCAGUGAAAUCUAUGGUCAGCGGGUCUUUUUGGUGAACGCAACCCUGGAAACCAUGGAUCAUACUACGGGUAAAGAGAUGACACUAUCUCGAGGAUAAGUGCACUUGGAGGUGAUGGAUACACGAUGUGAUUAGAGGCGUAGAUAACUUCCUUGGGUAUACUGGUUAAUUAUGCUCAAACACCUACUGACUUAUGCUUGGGUGUAGUUUCCAAAUUGGCUUGGGUGUUAGAGAUUACUACUCUAAGUCCAAGACCUUUAUCUCUCAAUGUAUUUGUUAUGGGUAGGCCUAGGCUUCAGACUUUUAUUUCUAUAUUCAACCAUCAGAUUCCAUUAUAUGCGCCUUGACUCACUCAUGCCCUUGGAUGUAUUUAACACUUUCAAAACUCAGUAUGCUUGUGUAUUUAUGCACUCUUUACAUGUAUUUCAGCAGUUUUAAGUUAUUUAAUUUCUCUUUCCUUUCAUCUAAAAAGGUUGUUGAUUGACAAUGAUCUUAGGCUCUUAGAUAAAGGUGAAGUUGUGAGGAGUUUUAUAAUGUUAUCCUUAUAUUUGUAUUUUCUUCUGAUAGCCAUAAAACCAUUAAUGAUAGUUUUUAAUAUUUGAAAC
Molecule: long non-coding RNA, 966 nt
Organism: Glycine soja
Lineage: Eukaryota; Viridiplantae; Streptophyta; Magnoliopsida; Fabales; Fabaceae
Exons: 2
Source: RefSeq, a predicted model, not a curated record